CCUACGGGAGGCAGCAGUGAGGAAUAUUGGUCAAUGGGCGCGAGCCUGAACCAGCCAAGUAGCGUGAAGGAUGACUGCCCUACGGGUUGUAAACUUCUUUUAUAAAGGAAUAAAGUGAGGCACGUGGGCCUGUUGGAAUGUACUUUAGGAAUAAGGAUCGGCUAACUCCGUGCCAGAAGCCGCGGUAAUACGGAGGAUCCGAGCUUUAUCCGGCUUUAUUGGGUUUAACGGGAGCGUAGAUGGGUUGUUAAGUCAGUGGUGAAAGUUUGCGGCUCAACCCUAAAAUUGCAUUUGAUACUGGCAGCCUUGAGUACAGUUGAGGUAGGCGGCAUUCGUGGUGUAGCGGUGAAAUGCUUAGAUCUCACG
Molecule: ribosomal RNA, 366 nt
Filed under: uncultured bacterium
Lineage: Bacteria
Description: partial 16S ribosomal RNA
Rfam family: Bacterial small subunit ribosomal RNA
Source: RNAcentral